Molecule: ribosomal RNA, 453 nt
Filed under: uncultured bacterium
Lineage: Bacteria
Description: bacterial SSU rRNA
Rfam family: Bacterial small subunit ribosomal RNA
Source: RNAcentral
UACGGGAGGCAGCAGUGGGGAAUAUUGCACAAUGGGCGAAAGCCUGAUGCAGCUAUGCCGCGUGUAUGAAGAAGGCCUUAGGGUUGUAAAGUACUUUCAUCGGGGAGGAAAAACAAAACUAAUAAUUUUAUUUCUUGACGUUACCCGAAAAAGAAGCACCGGCUAACUCCGUGCCAGCAGCCGCGGUAAUACGGAGGGUGCUAGCGUUAAUCAGAAUUACUGGGCGUAAAGAGCACGUAGGUGGUUUUUUUAAGUCAGAUGUGAAUCCCUGGGCUUAACCUAGGAACUGCAUUUUGAAACUGAAAUACUAGAGUAUCGUAGAGGGAGGUAGAAUUCUAGGUGUAGCGGUGAAAUGCGUAGAUAUCUGGAGGAAUACCUGUGGCGAAAGCGGCCUCCUAAACGAAUACUGACACUGAGGUGCGAAAGCGUGGGGAGCAAACAGGGAUUAGAUAC